RNAcentral lists this ribosomal RNA (485 nucleotides) under uncultured bacterium. RNAcentral's name for it is "partial 16S ribosomal RNA". The stretch from base 18 to 375 matches the Rfam family "Bacterial small subunit ribosomal RNA", at positions 45 to 394 of the family's 1533-position model. The record is from RNAcentral.
GAUGAACGCUGGCGGCGUGCUUAACACAUGCAAGUCGAACGGGAUCCCAGGGGUGCUUGCACUUUUUGGUGAGAGUGGCGAACGGGUGAGUAACACGUGAGUAACCUGUCCUUUUCUUUGGGAUAAGCAUUCGAAAGGGUGUUUAAUACCUUAUGUUCUGUCUGCCUCGCAUGGGGUGGGUGGGAAAGGCUUUGGCCGGAGUUGGGUGGGCUCGCGGUCUAUCAGCUUGUUGGUGGGGUGAUGGCUUACCAAGGCUUUGACGGGUAGCCGGCCUGAGAGGGUGGGAGGUGACGUUGGGACUGAGAGGGGGCGCGGACUGGUGCGGGAGGCAGCGGGGGGGGGUAGUGCGGAAUGGGGGAAAGCGGGAGGCAGCGAGGUGGAGUGGGGGAGGGAGGGGGGCGGGGUGUAAAGGGCUGUUGAGCGGAACAGGGCGUGCCGGUGGGUGUGUGGAGGGUAGGGGUUGAGGAGCGCCGGCUAACUACGUG